AACGAACGCUGGCGGCAGGCUUAACACAUGCAGGUCGAACGCCCCCGCAAGGGGAGUGGCAGACGGGUGAGUAACGCGUGGGAAUCUACCCAUCUCUGCGGAAUAGCUCCGGGAAACUGGAAUUAAUACCGCAUACGCCCUACGGGGGAAAGAUUUAUCGGGGAUGGAUGAGCCAGCGUUGGAUUAGCUAGUUGGUGGGGUAAAGGCCUACCAAGGCGACGAUCCAGAGCUGGUCUGAGAGGAUGAUCAGCCACAUUGGGACUGAGACACGGCCCAAACUCCUACGGGAGGCAGCAGUGGGGAAUAUUGGACAAUGGGCGCAAGCCUGAUCCAGCCAUGCCGCGUGAGUGAUGAAGGCCUUAGGGUUGUAAAGCUCUUUCACCGGUGAAGAUAAUGACGGUAGCCGGAGAAGAAGCCCCGGCUAACUUCGUGCCAGCCGCCGCCGUAA
This 448-nucleotide ribosomal RNA is filed under the name uncultured bacterium. Its description in RNAcentral is "partial 16S ribosomal RNA". It matches the Rfam family "Bacterial small subunit ribosomal RNA", at positions 29 to 523 of the family's 1533-position model. The record is from RNAcentral.